Molecule: non-coding RNA, 12348 nt
Organism: Callithrix jacchus (white-tufted-ear marmoset)
Lineage: Eukaryota; Metazoa; Chordata; Mammalia; Primates; Cebidae
Source: RefSeq, a predicted model, not a curated record
AAAAUUUCUUUGUUCUUCUAUUCUUUCUCAUUUUCCUGUCUUUCUCUUCAUCUUUCCCUCUUUCUUUUCUUCUUCAUUUCUUAAAUAGAAUUACAUUUAGAAAAUUUCUAUAAAUAGUAGCUAUAGCAGUAUUAAUCAUGUUUUAUAAAAGAACUUAACAUGCAUCAAAAAUUUUAAAAAUAUGUAAAUUUGACAGUGAUUAUGCUUCAAAAGAUUCUUAAUGUGAUAAUGAAAUUUCUGGCAAUAUUUAUUGCCAUGAAUUUAUGAUUUUGCUUAUGGGUUGUUAAUGAUUUAAUUGACAAUAGAUAGGAAUCAUAUCUUAGUAUUGGUUAUAUUUAGGAAUUGAGAACCGGUUAGAGUGCUCAUUCUUAUCCUGUAAGACAGUCAGCUUCGAGGUAAACAGAAUGGAAGAAGAAAGAAAAAUGGAAGCUGAGAUACAUAUGCAUCUGCAACAAUAGGGGCUCAAGGAGUGAAUAAGAUGGUCGAAAGAUGGUGAGGGUUCUUGCCAUAAGGACCAAAGUUUAAUGUUUAAAUAGCAUGAAAAAAUUGAUAGAAAAAGAACAUGGAUUUUUUUGGUUGGACUUUAAUAGCCUUGGAUAAAUGGCAAUAUUGAAGGAAAUAACUUUGGAAACAAAGUGCUGGGAAAACACCACCAAAUACAUAUGUCAGUCAUUGUUAAGUGCUUUGAUAUAUUAUUUCAGUCCCUGCAACAACCAUAUGAAGUUAAUACUAUUCUUAUUUUUAUUAGAUAAAGAUACUGUAUUUUUUUAAAGGGGGAACUUUUUAUAUAGUUGUUAAUAAAUACAUUGAAAUAAUAUCUUUAUUUCAUGCCUGUAAUCCCAACACUUUGGGAGGCCGAGGUGGGUGGAUUACAAGGUCAAGAGAUCGAGACCAUCCUAGCCAACAUGGUGAAACCCUGUCUCUACUAAAAAUACAAAAAUUAGCUGGGCGUGGUGGCGCACACCUGUAGUCCUAACUACUUGGGAGGCUGAGGCAGGAGAAUCACUUGAACAGGGAGGCGGAGGUUGCAGUGAGCCAAGAUAGUGCCACCGCACUCCAGCCAGGUUGACAGAGUGAGACUCUGUCUCAAAAAAAAAAAAAAUAGAAAAGAGUUUUGAUUUUAUUAUUCAUGCUAGUUUCCCCAGGACCAGUCCAUUAGUUUCUUCACAACAAGGCCUUAAAACUGGGCCUGUUCAGUGGUUUGGGAUGGUUCUUAGAGACAUUGUUCCAACUUCAGGUGCUAGAAAAAAAUCCAUUUUCACAAGCUCUAGACAGAAAACUAGGUAAAAGAUUUUAAUCUGGACAGGUAGCCAGUAUUGGAUAUUACAAUUUGAAUUAAUACAUGAUCUGUCAGACUGUUGGAAUACAACAGAAAAUCCAGGAAGAGAGAACAUUUAAAAAUCGAUACAGGCAGUUGGUAAUCUAUUGAAGAUCUUUUGAACCAUUUAAAGAUUUAAUCCUCAGGUUUAGAGACCAGGCUAGCGUCGCCAGAUUUAGCAAAUAAAAAUAAAGGAUUCCCAGUUAAAUUUGAAUUUCAGGUAAUCAAUAAUUUUUUAGUAUGUGUUACAGCCAAUAUUUGGGACAUUCUUAUAUCAAAAAUUUGUUGCUUAUUUGAAAUUCAAAUUUAAUUGGGCAUCCUGUAUAUUUUCUGGCAGCCUAGUCUAGACUUCCUUGGGGCAUGGAGUUUUCAAGAACAAAGUACACUCCAAUGUUAGAGCCAUUGUCAAUAUAGAUUUCAUUCACCAGAAUUAGGAUAUGGGCAAUUAGUAAGAUUAGUAAAGAUGGGCUUCUUUGCCAAAGCUCCUACAAUUGGCUUUAGACUCUGAGGAGACAUUGAGCUUGCACUUACUUAGUAGUUAAGAAAUCUCAGUUGAGGAAUUGAGGUGAUAUGAGGACUUUUAAAUUUAAAAUAUUUUUAAUCUUUUUUUUUCGAGACUGGAUCUCGCCCUGUUGCCCAGGCUGCCAUGCAGUGGCAUGAUGGCAACCUUGAACUCCUGGGCUUAAGCAAUCCUCCCACCUCAGCCUCCUGAGUAGCUGGGACUGACUGUAGGUGUGCACCACCAUGCCUGGCUAAUUUUUAAAUUUUUAGCAGACAUGAGGUCUCAUUAUGUUCCCCAGGUUGGUCUUGGACUCCUGGGCUCAAGUGAUUCCCUCACCUCAGCCUCCCAAAGUGCUGGCAUUACAGGCAUAAGCAUUGUGCUCAGUGAGAUGAAGGCUUUAGAAGCUGAGAACUGAACACAAACUGGCAAACAGGAUCAGGUAAAUGCAUAAAUUUUAAAGGAAUAUUGGGAUAUUGUUUUUUUCUAAAAUAACUUAUUAUUCUCAUUAUAAAAAUAAUAGAAUAAUUCUAGAAAAAAGGUAAAAAAUUAUCAUAGUUGCACUGAUCCAGAGUUAACCAUUUAUUUAUUUUUCAACAGAAAAAAGCCAUUUCACCUUUUUUGAGUCUUACAUCUUUAUCCAUGGGAAAAAAGUUGAACUAGAUGAUAUCUAAGGUUACUUCAAUGCUCAGUAUAUAUUGUGGAUAAAACAUACAGUUUUGAUGUAUUUAUGUAAGUUUGUGCUGUCUUGUCUAUCACCACCAAGAAAACCAUUGAUUAAGGAUUUUACAAAUACACAAAUAUAUUUAACAUGUUUGUAUGUGGUGGAAUACUUAGAAUGCCUAUUGUGCUGAUUCACCCAGUAUUGUUUUCUUAUCACACAGCAUAUAUUUCAGCCAUUCUUGUUACACAGAUCUAUUGUAAAAGUUUAAUAAUCUAAAAUGGUAUAUAACUUGUCAGUAAUUCAUAAAAGGAAGUGGCAGACCCCCAAUACCCAUAUAACUAAAUUUUUAAUCUUUUAAAUCUUCAACUUGCUCAAGAUGGCCAAAGAUAUGAGAAAUAUUUUUUGGGGGGGGUUCUUAUUUGCCUCUGGAACACUCUCUUGACACUCUCAUCCUUGUUAUAGUUCUGACUGCAGUUGAAUAUUUAUUGUACUUCUAUUAUGUUAAAAAUUUUUAAUUAGGCCCGAGUGCAGUGGCUCACACUUAUAAUCCCAGCACUUUGGGAGGCUGAGGUGGGCAGAUGGCUUGAGGUUGAGAGUUUGAGACCAGCCUGGCCAACAUGGUGAAACCCCGACUCUACCAAAAGAUAGAAAAAUUAGCCAGGCGUGGUGGCGAGUGCCUGUAAUCCCAGCUACUCGGAAGGCUGAGGCAGGAGAAUCACUGGAACCUGGGAGGUGGCAUUUGCAGUGAGCUGAAAUCCUGCCACUGCUCUCUAGCCUGGGAGACAGAGUGAGACCCUGUUUCAAAAAAAGCUGUUUUUUUUUUUUAAUUAAAACUAUAUGUAUUUAAGUUGUAUAACCUGAUAUUUUAAUAUGCAUAUACAUAGUUACCUGAUUAUUUCAGUCAAGCCAGUUAACAUAUCCAUCUCUUCAUAUAAUUACCAUUUUUUUCUUGUAGUAUGAACAUUUACUAUCUACUCUCUAAGAGAAUUUCAUCUGUAUAGCACAGUAUUAUUAACUUUAGUCCUCAUGCUAUACGUUAGAUCUCUAGAUUUUAUUCAUCCUAUAUAACUUUGUACCCUUUGACUGACAUCAUCUUAUUUCUCUCACCUCUUCACCGCUGGAAACCAUUAUUCUCCUGUCUACUUCUAUGAGUCUGAUUUGUAAAGAUCUCACAUAUAAGUAAGCAUAUACAGUAUUUUUAUUAAUAUGUCUGACUUAUUUCAAUUAGCAUACAUCCUCUAGGUUCAUCCACGUUGUCACAAAUGGCAGGAUUUUCUUCCUUUUAAUGUCUAAAUAGUAUUCUGUUAUUUCUUCAUGACAUAUUUUUUAGUCCAUUUAUCUGUCACUUAGAUUGUUUAUAUAUCUUGGAUUUUUUUUAAUUUUUUUUUUUUUGAGGUGAAGUUUCGCUCUUGUUGCCCAGGCAAUGGCGACAAGACAAUAUAAGUGCGAUGGUGUGAUCUCGGCUCACCUCAACCUCCGCCUCCCAGGUUCAAGUGAUUCUCCUAUCUCAGCCUCCUGAGUAGCUGUGAUUAUAGGCAUGUACCACUAUGCCCAACUAAUUUUGUAUUUUUAGUAGAGAUAGGGUUUCACCAUGUCGGCCAAGCUGGUCUCAAACUCCUCACCUUAGGUGAUCCACCUGCCUUGGCCUCCCAGAGUGCUGGGACAACAGGCAUAAGUCACUGUGUCUGGCCCUCUUGGCUAUUGUGAAUAAUACUGCAAUGAAUCUGAAAAUGCAGAUAUCUCUUUGAGAUACUAAUUUCAUUUUCUUUGGAUAUAUAUCCAAAAGUGGGAUUGUUAGAUUAUAUAGUAGUUCUGUUUUUAAUUUUUUUGAGGAAGUUCCAUACUGUUUUUCAUAAUGGCUAUACCAAGUUACAUUCCCACCAAGAGUGUACAAGGAUUGCCUUUCUCGACACCCUUGCUAACACUUGUUAUCUUUUGAAUUUUUGAUGACAGCUAUCCUGACAAGUGUGAAUUGAUCCUUAACUAUUGUUGUAGUUCUGAUUCACAUUUUCCUGAUUAGUGAUGUUGAGCACCUUUUUAUAUACCUUUUGGCCAUCUGUGUGUCUUCUUUAGAAAAAUGUCUAUUUAGGUUCUUUGCCCAUUUUUAAAUUGUGUUACUUGUUUUUGUUACUGAGUUCUGUGAAUUCCUUAAAUAUUUUGGAUAUUAACUCCUUAUCAGAUAUGUGGUUUGCCAAAAUUUUCUCCCAUGCUGUAGACUGUCUUUUCACUCUGUUGAUUAUUUCCUUUACUGUACAGAAGCUUUUUAGUUUGAUGUAGGUCUCACAUGUUGAUUUUUGCUUUUGUUGUGUUUUUGGUGUCAUAUUUUAAAAAGUCAUUUGCGAGAUCGAUCCAAGAUGGCCGACCACUAACAGCUCGGGAUUGUAGCUCCCAGUGAAAGCUCAGAGAACGAGACGACGCCACAUCUUUAGAUGAAUUUUCGUCACUCACCAAUCAGCCGAUUCCCAGUGGAGGAGCCCCACGGGUCGCCAGCGUGACUCUUGUGGCCGCCGCAGCGGUUUUGCCGGCGUCUGGACGCAGCAGCUCUUCAUGCAGAGCCAACUGGACUGCUUCCCCUACUGACCGGAGUUUGGAGCUCUGGGAAAUCAGAGCCGCUUGUUGCGGACUCAAGAGGGAAGCCAGACCAGAGAUUCCCGGGCAGAAGAGCACCAUCAGUCUUAUCGCUGCUAUUUAGGCCGCCACAGUGGGUUGCUCGGAUCCCAGCACUGGGAAUCAAUAACGUCGACUCAGAAACCUAAUUAGAAAGGCGGUUCAUCUACAAUGAAGGGGAAAAAACAGCCUAAGAAGGCCGAGUAUACUCAAAUCAGAACCCAUCAGAACAAGCCCUGAUGGAAAAGGACUCAUCAGCAACCGAACAAGCCCUGAUGGAAAAGGACUCAUCAGUAACGGAACAAGCCCUGAUGGAAAAGGACUGUGUUCCAUUAUCUGAAGUUGGCUUUAAAAGGUGGAUGAUAAGAAACUUCUGGGAGUUAAAGGAACUUGUUCUAACCCAAUGUAAAGAAACUAAGAACUUGGAAAAAAGGUUCGAUGAAAUGUUGAAAAGAAUAGACAAUAUAGAGAGGAAUACAAAUGAACUUAUGGAGUUGAAAAAUACAACACGAGAACUUAGUGAAAUAUGUACAGGCUUAAACAGCCAAAUGGAUCAAGCAGAAGAAAGGAUAUCAGAGGUCGAAGACCAACUUAAUGAAACAAAACGACAAGACAAGAAUAGAGAAAAAAGGAUAAAAAGGAAUGAGCAAAGUCUCCAAGCAAUAUGGGACUGUGUGAAAAGACCUAAUAUACGCUUGAUUGGUGUACCUGAAUGUGACGGAGAGAAUGAAUUCAAGCUGGAAAAUACUCUCCAGGACAUUAUCCAGGAAAAUUUUCCUAAUUUAGCAAAGCAGGACACUAUUCAACCCCAGGCAAUACAGAGAACACCACAAAGAUAUUCCUCAAGAAGACCAACCCCAAGACACAUAAUCGUUAGAUUCACCAAGAUCGAAACGAAGGAGAAAAUAAUAAGGGCAGCCAGAGAGAAAGAUCAAGUUACCCAUAAAGGUAAGCCUAUUAGGCUUACAGCAGAUCUCUCAACGGAAACCCUACAAGCUAGAAGAGAGUGGGGGCCAAUAUUCAAUAUACUUAAAGAACAGAACUUUCAGCCCAGAAUUUCAUAUCCUGCCAAUUUAAGCUUUGCAUUUGAAGGAAAAAUAAAAUCUUUUAGGAACAAGCAAGUACUCAGAGAUUUUAUUACCACCAGGCCUGCUUUACAAGAACUUCUAAAAGAAGCAUUAUACACUGAAAGGAACAACCAGUAUGACCCUUUCUAAAAAUACACCAAAAAGUAAAGAGCAUUAACAUAAAGAAGAAUUUUCAUCAACAAAAGGACAAGAUAGUCAGUUAAUAUCAAAUGGCAGCAACCCUAAAUUUAAAUCGACCAAAUCUCCCAAUCAAAAGAUACAGACAAAAUCUAACGGUAUAUCCAAAGAUAUACAUAGACUCAAAAUAAAGGGUUGGGAAAAAAAACAUACCGACCAAAUGGAGAGCAAAAAUAAAUAAAUAAAAAGCAGGAGUUGCAAUUUUUAUAUUUGACAAAAUAGAUUUCAAAGCUACAAGGAUACAAGGGUAAAAGGAUUAAUGUAAUAAUAAGAGAUCUUAACACCCAGAUACAUAAGACCCAUAAUGAGAUUUAGAUUCAACGAGACAGAAAACUGAUAACGAUAUCUGGGACUGGAACUAAGAUCCAGAACAAAUAAAAUCAAUAGAGCUCUCCAUUUUAAACACACAAAAUGUAAAUUAUCCACAAAAUCUAACGAUAUAUCUAAAGAUAUACAAAGACUCAAAACAAGGGGAUGGAAAAAAACUCACCAACCAAAUGGAGAGCAAAAAUAAAUAAAUAAAAAGCAGGAGUUGCAAUUCUCACACUUAAUAAAAUAGAUUUCAAAGCUACAAGGAUGCAAGGGUAAAAGGAUUAAUGUAACAAUAAGAGAUCUUAACACCCAGAUACAUAAGACACAUAAUGAGAUUUAGAUUCAACGAGACAACAAAUUGAUAACGAUAUCCAGGACUUGAACUCAGAGCCAGAACAAAUAAACACAAUAGGGGUCUCCAUUUUAAACACAUAAAAUAUGCAUUAACCACUUUAAACACUCAAAAUAUUGAUCGGCCAUUAUUGAAACCCAUUUUAGGAAUGAAGUAAUAUUCCUUUUUCCCUCUUUUUCUUUUCUUUUUUUUUCCCCCUUCUUUAAAAAAAAAAAAAGUAAUUUGCAAGACCCAUGUUAAGGAGUUUCUUCGCUGUUUUUUCCUAGGAGUUUUAUGAUUUCACUUCUUAUUUAAGUCUUUAAUCCAUGUUGAGUUGACUUUUGUAUAUGGUAUAAGAUAAGGGUCCAAGUCCAUUCUUCUGCUUGUAGAUACCCAGUUUUUCCAACACCGUUUAUGGCAGAGACUAUCUUUUCCCCAUUAUGUGUUCUUCUCACUUUUGUUGAAAAUCAAUUACAUCUAAAUGUGUGGGUUUAUUUCUGGGCUCUCUACUCUGUUCUGUUAGUCUAUGUGGCUGUUUUAAUACCAGUACCAUACUGUGGCAGUUACUGUAGGUUUCAGGUAUAAUUUGAAAUAAGGAAGGGUGAUGGCUGCAGCUUUGUUCUUUCUCAAGAUUGUUUUGGCUAUUCGAAGUAUUUUGUGGUUUAAUAUUUUAGGAUUUUUUUUCCAUUUCUGUGAAAAAUAUCAUUGAAAGUUUGAUAGAGAUUACAUUGAAUCUGUAGAUCAUUUUGGGUAGUUUGGACAUUUAACAAUAUUAAUUCUUCAAAUCCAUGACACAGGAUUUUUCAUUUAUUUUCUCUUCAGUGUCUUUUUUUUUUAAUCAGUGUUUUAUACUUUUUAGUGUAUAGCCCUUUCUCCAUGUUGGCUAUUUAUUCCUAGGUAUUUUAUUCUUUUUUAUGUUAUUGUGGUGGGAUCAUUCUCUUGGUUUUCUUUUGGGAUAUCUGUUAUUGAUGUAAAGAAAUGCUCCUGAUGUUUGUAUGUUAAUUUUGUAUCCUGCAACUUUACUAAAUUUGUUUUUUAGUUCUAACAGUUUUUUAAUGGAGUUUUUGGGGUUUUCUACAUACAGGAUCAUGUCAUCUGCAAACAGAGACAUUUACUUCAUCCUUUCCAAUUUGCACUCCUUUUAUUUCUUUUUCUUGGCUAAUCGAUUGGCUAAGACUUUCAAGAAAAGUUGAGAAUUCCUUACCUGAAAUGUUUGGGAUUAGAAAUGUUUUCAAUUUUUUUGGAGUUUGGAAUAUUUGCAGGAUACCUACCAGUUGAGUAUCCUAAAUCUGAAAAUUCAAAAUCUGAAAUGCCUCAAUGGGCAUUUUGAUAGAGCCUCAUGUUGUUGCUCAAAAACUUACAAAUUUUGGAGAAUUUCAAAUUUUGGAUUUUCAGAUUUAAAAUGCCCAGCCAGUAAGUAUGUUUGAAUAGAAGUGGUGAAAGUGGGCAUCCUUGCCUUGUACUGUAUCUUCGAGAAAAAACUUCCACUUUUUCCCCAUUAUGAUGUUAGCUGUGGGAAUUUUGCAAAUGACCUUUAUUGUGUUGGAGUAUGUUCCUUCUGUACUUACUGUUUUGAGAGUAAACUAAAUGGAUAUUGAACUUUGUCAGAUGCCUUUUCUGCAUCUAUUUUUAAUUCUGCUACUGUGGUGUAUAACAUUAUUGAUUUGCACAUAUUAAACCACUGUGCAUCCCAGAAAUAAAUCUCAGUUAAUCAUGGUGUGUAAUUUUUUAAGAAAAGAUUUCAACUUUCGCUUUAAAUAUGGGGGAUACACGUGCAGAUUUGUUACAUGGGAGUAUUGUUAAUGCUAAGGUUUGAAGUAUGGAAUCUGUCCCCUUACCUAUGUAGUGAGCAGAGUGCUCGUUAGGUAGUUUUUUUGAUAUGCUGUUGGAUUUGCCUUGCUAGUAUUUUAUUGAGGGGUUUUGCAUCUGUUUUUUAGUGAUAUUGGUCUGUAGUUUUCUAGCAGUGUCUUUGUUUGAUUUUGAUAUCAGAGUGAUGCUAGCCUCAUAAAACGAAUUUAGAAGUAUUCCCUCUUAUUUUAUGAAAGAAUUUAAGAAAGAUUGGUAUUAAUUUAUCUUUGAAUGUUUGAUAGAAUUCACUGUGAAGUCAUCUGGUCCUGGGCUUUUCUUUGUUGAGAGAUUUUUUUAUUACUUCUGUAACUUAUUAUUGGUCUGUUUAGGCUUUCUGCAUCUUCUUGAUUCAAUCUUGGUAGUUUGCAUGUUUCUAGGUAUUUAUCCAUUUCUUCCGUGUUAUCUAAUUUGUUGUCAUAUAAUGUUCGUAAUAGCCCCUUAUGAUCUUUUUUAUUUCUGAGAAAUCCAUUUUAUGUUUCCUCUUUCAUUUAUUUAAACCUUCUCUCUUUUUUUUUUUUUUUUUUUAGUCUAUGUAAGGGGCUGUUGACUUUAUCUUUUCAAAAAAUAAGCUCUUAGUUUUGCCUUUUUUUUUUUUUUUUUUUUGAGGCAGAGUCUCACUCUGUUGGAGGCUGGAGUGCAGUGGUACCAUCUUGGCUCACUGCAACAUCCUCCUCCCCGGUUCAAGUGAUUCUCCUGCCUCAGCCUCCAGAGUAGGUGGAAUUAUAGGCACCCACCAUCACGCCUGGCUAAUUUUUGUAUUUUUUAGUGGAGAUGAGGUUUCACCGUGUUUGCCAGGCUGGUCUCAAACUCCUGACCUCAGGUGAUCCACCUGCCUCGGCCUCCCAAAUACUAGGAUUACAGUGUGAGCCACCAUGCCCAGCCUAGUUUUACUUUGUUUUUUUUUUUCCUAUUCUCUAUUUUAUUUCUACUCUAGUUGUCUUAUUUCCUUUAUCUGCUUAUUUUGGGCUUGGUUUCUUACUCUUUUUCUAAUUCCUUUAGGUGUGAAGGUAGGAUGUUUAUUUGAGAUCUUUUUAUUUCCCCUUUGGCAUUUAUUUCUAUAAGCUUCCCUUAUCACUGCUUUUGCUUUCCCAUAAGUUUUGGUAUGUUGUGUUUUGUUUCUGUCUCAAGAUAAUUUGAAAAUUUUCUUUUUUAAUUCCCUCUUUGAUUAAUGGUUGUUCAAGAGUGUGUUGUUAUAUUUGUGAAUUUUUCCAUUUUCUAGCUGUUAUUCAUUUCUAGUUUUAUACCAUUAUAGUCAGAAAAGAUACUUGGUAUGAUUUUGAUCUUCUUAAAUUUAAGUCUGAUUUUGUGGCCUAACAUGGGAGUUAUCCUGGAGAAAGUUCCAUCUGUGCUUGAGGAGAAUGUGUAGUCUUCUGCUGUUGGGUGGCAAAUUCUAUGUAUGUCUUUUGGGUCCAUUUGAUCCAUAGUGUUAUUCAAGGUCACUGUUUAUUGAUUUUUCUGUUUAGAUGAUUUAUCUAUUAUUAAAAGUAGAGUAUUGAGCUUUCUUUCUAUUAUUAUAUUGCUGUCAAUUUUUCUUUUGGGUUUGUCAAUAUUUGCUUUAUAUACUUAGGAGCUCCAAUAUUGGAUGUGUAUAUAUUUACAAUUUUUAUAUCUUCCUAUUGAAUUUACCCAUUUUCAUUAUAUAAUGACUUUCUUUGGCUUUAGAGACAACUUUUAAUUUAAAGUCUAUUUUGUCUGACAUAAACUCAGCCACCCCUGUUUACUUUUGGUUGCCGUUUGCAUGGAAUAUCUUUUUCCAUCCCUUUAUUCUAAGCUUUUAUGUGUCUUGUGAAUCUAAACUGAGUUGAUUGUAGACAGCAUAUAGUUGGAUCUCUAAUCCAGUCAAAUCUUCUUUAUUUAGGCCUAUCUUAUUAUAUUGCACUUUAUUGCACUUCACAGAUUUGCAUUUUUUACAAGUUGAAGGUUUGUGGUAACCCUGCAUUGAGUAAGUCUAUUGGUGCUAUUUUUCCAACAGCAUGUGCUCACUUCAUGAUUCUAUGUCACAUUUUGGCAUUUCUUGCAAUAUUUCAAACUUUUUCAUUAUUAUUAUAUCUUUAUGAUUGUGAUCAGUGAUCUUUGAUAUUACUACAAAUGUGCUGUUACCAAUAGAGAGUUGUAAAGCUGAAAUAAAUAUUUCUAGACCAUGAAUAAUAAACGUAAUUUCUCUAACUGUGAGAGAGAGGAAAGACGAAACUAUUUCUGUUCUCUCUAUUGAAAAUAAAAUUACAAAAUUGCUGGGUGUGGUGGUACAUGUCUGUAGUGCCAGCUGUUCCAGAGGUUGAGGCAGGAGAAUCACUUAUGCCCAUGAGUUUGAGACUGACCUGGGCAACAUAAUGAGAUCAUGAAUCCAAAAAAUAUUAUAAAAUUAUUGUCAUAUGAAGAAGUGAUCAAGGUAGGAAAACUUCCUAUAAAGGGGUAUCAGGCAGUUCAUUUAACAAUAAUUCUAAUAAUAUAUUUUCUGAGUAUUGUGAUGUUUGUGGUGUUUAUAACUUAAAUUGUUGUAAUUUUGCUUUCUCAUUCUUUUAUACUAACUUUAUACCCAAUUAACAGUGUUUCCUAAAUUAUACAAGCUUCAGGCCUCAUAAAAUUUGAAUUUGUUCCUGCUCAGUAGUAUACCUGGACCUCUUUUGGAUUAUUUACCUAAAUAAAGGGUGGUUGUAUUGGUCGCCCUCUUGUGAUACUUGUAUUUCCAGGAAAAUUACUGAGAAUUAAGAAUUUGUGGGCUGGGAAUGGUGGCUUAUACCUGUAGUCCCAGCACUUUGGGAGGCCAAGGAGGUGGAUCAGUUGAGCCCAGGAGUUUGAGACCAGCUUGGGCAACAUGGUGAAACACUGUCUCUAUGAAAAAAUAACAAAAAUUAGCUGGGUAUAGUAGCACUCACCUGUUCCAGCUACUCAGGAGGCUGAGGCGAGAGGAUCACUUGAGCCUGGGAGAGUGAAGCUAGAGUGAGCUGUGUUCUCACCAUUACACUCCAGCCCCUGUCUCUGAGAAAAAAACAACAAAAAAAGAAUUUGUGACUUGGACUAGUUUUAUUUCCUGUGGAACUCCUAACUAGCCUGCUCAGAAAUUAUGCUUUUGAUUUUGGCCUCAUCAGCAUCUAACAUAAUGUUCUGGUCAGCUGAUAUAACACACUUAAUGUUGCUGGCAAAUGCUGCACUUAAUUCAUUAUAGGGCUUUUAAGCUACGUAGUAAAAGCAUAAAAUUUCUAAUCAAGUAUUAGUAGCUAUCCAUCCUGCCUGUAUGUAUUCUCCUUGUGAUUUAAAAUCAUUGAUAAGCCACAGUAUAACUUCUUAAAAUUUUACUUUGUAGAAAAUUUUAAAAUUUUGAAUAUAUAAAGAAGUAUGCAGAUGUCCUCAAAAUCUUACUACUUGGAUGCUACAAAGAUGGCAACAAAACUACCAACGUGAAAACUUGGAAUAAAAAUGAUUUUAGGCCUCAGUGUAAACGAACAAACUUAGUGGCAAAUGAUGGAAAAAAUUCCUGUCCAAUGAGUUUGGGAGCUCAGCAAC